CCUUCAAGGAAAAUGGAACCUAUCAUUGAAAUACGAACCUGAAGAUAGUCUGAAUACACAUGAUGUUUCAGCCACUCUUAUAUCCUGGAGGCUUCAUUUUUAUGGAAUCACAAAAGACAAUGCGAAGACUCCUGACACCCAGAAGAUCAAUGAUAAUUCUUCAACAACCGCUGUUGCCAUAGCUGUAACAGUUAUUGUCAUAAUUGCAGUUCUGGUUUCUGGUUUGUUAUUGUAUAAAUAUUGGCCCAAAUUGAAACAAAGUAACAUAUUAAAAUUACUACGGAUGCCAAAAGAGAUAUCCGAUACCGAUCCAAGCAGAUUUGAAAGGUUCUAAAACAUGAAAACAUUCUGUCCAUAGUCUGAUGUCCAAUUUUCAAUGAUGCUGUAUGAUAAACUAAAUGUAUUCAAUACCCAUAUCUUAUAUUGUCAGCAUUGGACCUUUAGCUUCUGUUUCCAUAUACAACGUCGAUCAUUGUAACAAUACGAGUUGUACCUGCCGGAAAUUCUUACUGUUCAAUGACUACUCAAAAUAUUUUUUUUUUCUUAUUUUCAGACGGAGUUGAAUAAUUACUUUAAAUAAUUUGUUGAAAUGUCUUGUAUGUAGUUUUACUAUUAAAUAUAUCUUAUUUUUUGGAUAAGAAAAAUAUUUAUUU
Magallana angulata is the source of this 653-nucleotide long non-coding RNA. RefSeq lists it as uncharacterized. NCBI's taxonomy places the organism in Eukaryota, Metazoa, Mollusca, Bivalvia, Ostreida, Ostreidae. The record is from RefSeq and is a predicted model, not a curated record. The transcript has 3 exons.